UACAGAGGUGGCAAGCGUUGUUCGGAAUUACUGGGCGUAAAGGGCGCGUAGGCGGCCAUCUAAGUCAGACGUGAAAUCCCCCGGCUUAACCUGGGAACUGCGUCUGAUACUGGACGGCUAGAGUAUGGGAGAGGUAAGCGGAAUUCCUGGUGUAGCGGUGAAAUGCGUAGAUAUCAGGAGGAACACCUGCGGUGUAGACGGCUUACUGGACCAUCACUGACGCUGAGGCACGAAAGCGUGGGUAGCAAACAGG
This 253-nucleotide ribosomal RNA is filed under the name uncultured bacterium. RNAcentral describes it as "partial 16S ribosomal RNA". It matches the Rfam family "Bacterial small subunit ribosomal RNA", at positions 524 to 776 of the family's 1533-position model. The record is from RNAcentral.